This 391-nucleotide unclassified non-coding RNA is filed under the name soil metagenome. Its description in RNAcentral is "partial contains 5.8S ribosomal RNA, internal transcribed spacer 2, and large subunit ribosomal RNA". The stretch from base 1 to 122 matches the Rfam family "5.8S ribosomal RNA", at positions 35 to 154 of the family's 154-position model. The record is from RNAcentral.
GAUGAAGAACGUAGUGAAAUGCGAUACUUGGUGUGAAUUGCAGAAUCCCGUGAACCAUCGAGUCUUUGAACGCAAGUUGCGCCCGAAGCCAUUAGGCCGAGGGCACGCCUGCCUGGGCGUCACACGUCGUUGCCCCCCCAUCUACUCCUUCGGGAUUGCGGGGGGCGGAUGAUGGCCUCUCGUGCGCCUCGUCGCGCGGUUGGCCUAAAUGCCAAGUCCUCGGCGACGCACGCCACGACAAUCGGUGGUUGCGAGACCUCGGUUGCCUGUCGUGUGCGGUCGUCGCGCAUCGAGGGCUCGAAAAAAUUGCCGGGCUUCGGCUCGACUUUCAACGCGACCCCAGGUCAGGCGGGGUUACCCGCUGAAUUUAAGCAUAUCAAUAAGCGGAGGA